UGCCUCCUGAUCCCCCAUAAGAGGUAACUCCUGCCCAGUGAAAAGUUUUUUCAACGGCCGCGGUAUCCUAACCGUGCAAAGGUAGCAUAAUCACUUGUCUAUUAAUUGUAGACUAGAAUGAAAGGAUAAACGAAAUAAGUGCUGUCUCCGCUAGUUUCCUAUAAAUUAUAAUUUAGAUGAAGAUAUCUAAAUAUAAAUGAAGGACAAGAAGACCCUAUAGAGCUUUAUCUAGAAAAGAAAGAAAUCUCUUUUUAAGGAUUCGGUUGGGGCGACCGAGGGGAACAUGCAUCACCCUCCACUCAGAGAUCUAUUAAUCUACCACAUGACCCUUAUCUUAGAUCAUAAAAAUAAGCUACCUUAGGGAUAACAGGCUAAUCUUAUUAGAGAGUCCUUAUCUAUAAUAAGGGUUGGCACCUCGAUGUUGGCUUAGGGCAUCUUUAUGGCGCAAAAGUCAUAAAAAGACGGUUUGUUCAACCUUCAAUUCCCU
This 487-nucleotide ribosomal RNA is filed under the name Glyphidrilus sp. 4 PJ-2018. RNAcentral's name for it is "partial small subunit ribosomal RNA". It matches the Rfam family "Bacterial large subunit ribosomal RNA", at positions 1817 to 2597 of the family's 2925-position model. The record is from RNAcentral. Lineage: Eukaryota; Metazoa; Annelida; Clitellata; Crassiclitellata; Almidae.